This 490-nucleotide ribosomal RNA is filed under the name uncultured bacterium. RNAcentral's name for it is "partial 16S ribosomal RNA". It matches the Rfam family "Bacterial small subunit ribosomal RNA", at positions 30 to 507 of the family's 1533-position model. The record is from RNAcentral.
AUUGAACGCUGGCGGCAGGCCUAACACAUGCAAGUCGAACGGUAACAGAAAACAGCUUGCUGUUUCGCUGACGAGUGGCGGACGGGUGAGUAAUGUCUGGGAAACUGCCUGAUGGAGGGGGAUAACUACUGGAAACGGUAGCUAAUACCGCAUAACGUCGCAAGACCAAAGAGGGGGACCCUCGGGCCUCUUGCCAUCGGAUGUGCCCAGAUGGGGUUAGCUUGUUGGUGGGGUAACGGCUCACCAAGGCGACGAUCCCUAGCUGGUCUGAGAGGAUGACCAGCCACACUGGAACUGAGACACGGUCCAGACUCCUACGGGAGGCAGCAGUGGGGAAUAUUGCACAAUGGGCGCAAGCCUGAUGCAGCCAUGCCGCGUGUAUGAAGAAGGCCUUCGGGUUGUAAAGUACUUUCAGCGGGGAGGAAGGGAGUAAAGUUAAUACCUUGGCUCAUUGACGUUACCCGCAGAAGAAGCACCGGCUAACUCCGUG